UGGGGAAUAUUGGACAAUGGGGGAAACCCUGAUCCAGCGACGCCGCGUGUGUGAAGAAGGCCUGCGGGUUGUAAAGCACUUUUAGUGGGGACAAAAAGCUACGGACUAAUACUCUGUGGUCUUGAUUUAACCUACAGAAAAAGCACCGGCUAACUCUGUGCCAGCAGCCGCGGUAAUACAGAGGGUGCGAGCGUUAAUCGGAAUUACUGGGCGUAAAGCGCGCGUAGACGGUUUUGUAAGUCGGAUGUGAAAUCCCCGGGCUCAACCUGGGAACUGCGUUCGAUACUGCAUGGCUAGAGUACGGUAGAGGGAAGCGGAAUUUCCGGUGUAGCGGUGAAAUGCGUAGAUAUCGGAAGGAACACCAGUGGCGAAAGCGGCUUCCUGGACCAGUACUGACGUUCAUGUGCGAAAGCGUGGGGAGCAAACAGGAUUAGAUACCCGCGUAGUCC
RNAcentral lists this ribosomal RNA (449 nucleotides) under uncultured bacterium. Its description in RNAcentral is "bacterial SSU rRNA". It matches the Rfam family "Bacterial small subunit ribosomal RNA", at positions 355 to 796 of the family's 1533-position model. The record is from RNAcentral.